RNAcentral lists this ribosomal RNA (2929 nucleotides) under Salmonella enterica subsp. enterica serovar Dublin str. SA20093032. RNAcentral describes it as "bacterial LSU rRNA". It matches the Rfam family "Bacterial large subunit ribosomal RNA". Lineage: Bacteria; Pseudomonadati; Pseudomonadota; Gammaproteobacteria; Enterobacterales; Enterobacteriaceae. The record is from RNAcentral.
GGGUUGUGAGGUUAAGCGACUAAGCGUACACGGUGGAUGCCCUGGCAGUCAGAGGCGAUGAAGGGCGUGCUAAUCUGCGAUAAGCGCCGGUAAGGUGAUAUGAACCGUUAUAACCGGCGAUACCCGAAUGGGGAAACCCAGUGUGAUUCGUCACACUAUCAUUAACUGAAUCCAUAGGUUAAUGAGGCGAACCGGGGGAACUGAAACAUCUAAGUACCCCGAGGAAAAGAAAUCAACCGAGAUUCCCCCAGUAGCGGCGAGCGAACGGGGAGGAGCCCAGAGCCUGAAUCAGCAUGUGUGUUAGUGGAAGCGUCUGGAAAGGCGCGCGAUACAGGGUGACAGCCCCGUACACAAAAGCGCAUGUGCUGUGAGCUCGAUGAGUAGGGCGGGACACGUGGUAUCCUGUCUGAAUAUGGGGGGACCAUCCUCCAAGGCUAAAUACUCCUGACUGACCGAUAGUGAACCAGUACCGUGAGGGAAAGGCGAAAAGAACCCCGGCGAGGGGAGUGAAAAAGAACCUGAAACCGUGUACGUACAAGCAGUGGGAGCACAGGUUUACCUGUGUGACUGCGUACCUUUUGUAUAAUGGGUCAGCGACUUAUAUUCUGUAGCAAGGUUAACCGAAUAGGGGAGCCGGAGGGAAACCGAGUCUUAAUUGGGCGUUAAGUUGCAGGGUAUAGACCCGAAACCCGGUGAUCUAGCCAUGGGCAGGUUGAAGGUUGGGUAACACUAACUGGAGGACCGAACCGACUAAUGUUGAAAAAUUAGCGGAUGACCUGUGGCUGGGGGUGAAAGGCCAAUCAAACCGGGAGAUAGCUGGUUCUCCCCGAAAGCUAUUUAGGUAGCGCCUCGUGAAUUCAUCUCCGGGGGUAGAGCACUGUUUCGGCUAGGGGGCCAUCCCGGCUUACCAACCCGAUGCAAACUGCGAAUACCGGAGAAUGUUAUCACGGGAGACACACGGCGGGUGCUAACGUCCGUCGUGAAGAGGGAAACAACCCAGACCGCCAGCUAAGGUCCCAAAGUCAUGGUUAAGUGGGAAACGAUGUGGGAAGGCCCAGACAGCCAGGAUGUUGGCUUAGAAGCAGCCAUCAUUUAAAGAAAGCGUAAUAGCUCACUGGUCGAGUCGGCCUGCGCGGAAGAUGUAACGGGGCUAAACCAUGCACCGAAGCUGCGGCAGCGACGCUUAUGCGUUGUUGGGUAGGGGAGCGUUCUGUAAGCCUGUGAAGGUGGCCUGUGAGGGUUGCUGGAGGUAUCAGAAGUGCGAAUGCUGACAUAAGUAACGAUAAAGCGGGUGAAAAGCCCGCUCGCCGGAAGACCAAGGGUUCCUGUCCAACGUUAAUCGGGGCAGGGUGAGUCGACCCCUAAGGCGAGGCCGAAAGGCGUAGUCGAUGGGAAACGGGUUAAUAUUCCCGUACUUGGUGUUACUGCGAAGGGGGGACGGAGAAGGCUAUGUUGGCCGGGCGACGGUUGUCCCGGUUUAAGCGUGUAGGUGUGUGUUCCAGGUAAAUCCGGUUCACUUUAACACUGAGGCGUGAUGACGAGGCACUACGGUGCUGAAGUAACAAAUGCCCUGCUUCCAGGAAAAGCCUCUAAGCAUCAGGUAACAUCAAAUCGUACCCCAAACCGACACAGGUGGUCAGGUAGAGAAUACCAAGGCGCUUGAGAGAACUCGGGUGAAGGAACUAGGCAAAAUGGUGCCGUAACUUCGGGAGAAGGCACGCUGACACGUAGGUGAAGUGAUUUACUCAUGGAGCUGAAGUCAGUCGAAGAUACCAGCUGGCUGCAACUGUUUAUUAAAAACACAGCACUGUGCAAACACGAAAGUGGACGUAUACGGUGUGACGCCUGCCCGGUGCCGGAAGGUUAAUUGAUGGGGUCAGCGCAAGCGAAGCUCCUGAUCGAAGCCCCGGUAAACGGCGGCCGUAACUAUAACGGUCCUAAGGUAGCGAAAUUCCUUGUCGGGUAAGUUCCGACCUGCACGAAUGGCGUAAUGAUGGCCAGGCUGUCUCCACCCGAGACUCAGUGAAAUUGAACUCGCUGUGAAGAUGCAGUGUACCCGCGGCAAGACGGAAAGACCCCGUGAACCUUUACUAUAGCUUGACACUGAACAUUGAGCCUUGAUGUGUAGGAUAGGUGGGAGGCUUUGAAGCGUGGACGCCAGUCUGCGUGGAGCCGACCUUGAAAUACCACCCUUUAAUGUUUGAUGUUCUAACGUGGACCCGUGAUCCGGGUUGCGGACAGUGUCUGGUGGGUAGUUUGACUGGGGCGGUCUCCUCCUAAAGAGUAACGGAGGAGCACGAAGGUUGGCUAAUCCUGGUCGGACAUCAGGAGGUUAGUGCAAUGGCAUAAGCCAGCUUGACUGCGAGCGUGACGGCGCGAGCAGGUGCGAAAGCAGGUCAUAGUGAUCCGGUGGUUCUGAAUGGAAGGGCCAUCGCUCAACGGAUAAAAGGUACUCCGGGGAUAACAGGCUGAUACCGCCCAAGAGUUCAUAUCGACGGCGGUGUUUGGCACCUCGAUGUCGGCUCAUCACAUCCUGGGGCUGAAGUAGGUCCCAAGGGUAUGGCUGUUCGCCAUUUAAAGUGGUACGCGAGCUGGGUUUAGAACGUCGUGAGACAGUUCGGUCCCUAUCUGCCGUGGGCGCUGGAGAACUGAGGGGGGCUGCUCCUAGUACGAGAGGACCGGAGUGGACGCAUCACUGGUGUUCGGGUUGUCAUGCCAAUGGCACUGCCCGGUAGCUAAAUGCGGAAGAGAUAAGUGCUGAAAGCAUCUAAGCACGAAACUUGCCCCGAGAUGAGUUCUCCCUGAGACUUAAAGUCUCCUGAAGGAACGUUGAAGACGACGACGUUGAUAGGCCGGGUGUGUAAGCGCAGCGAUGCGUUGAGCUAACCGGUACUAAUGAACCGUGAGGCUUAACCCUACAACGCCGAAG